This is a long non-coding RNA of Phyllostomus discolor (pale spear-nosed bat), 843 nucleotides long. RefSeq lists it as uncharacterized. The transcript has 2 exons. Lineage: Eukaryota; Metazoa; Chordata; Mammalia; Chiroptera; Phyllostomidae. The record is from RefSeq and is a predicted model, not a curated record.
GCCGCGCUCCCCCUCCCGGCGAUUCCUGGCCUAGCGGAGGAUCGGCCGUGGCCGUGGACCGCGUCCAGCGGGGCUGCGCUGGUUGAGGCCGGACCCGGACGAGAGAGCCGGCAGAGCGAGGUAGUGAUCCACUGGGCAGACGCUGCCGACGGGGCCGGUCCGUGAGGUGGAGAGCGGAGCCUCCUGUGCAGCGUCUAGGGGAGAAGGUCCACAACACCCAUCUUAGCCCCAGAAUGAUCCAGGGCCACCAAGGAGAACUGGUUUUCGAGAUAAAAGGAUCGAUAAAAGGCUUUCUGCACCUCCCCCCCCCCGCCCCCCAAGGAGGCUCAGUGAGCCGUGGUCCAGAAGCGAUGCAUUCAGGGUCUCGAGUCAGGAAUGCCCGAGCGGGAACCCUGCCAGUAAUGCCUGGUUGCACGAGGACCGCGGGCUUAGAUUGCCAUACUAGCGGGCGAAGGUUGACAUCAACGUUUUCCCUGCAGUUUCAAAUAAGAAUCAAAACUGGUAGUAACUUUUUUUGUGAUGCUGAAAACAGGGCUUACACUGAGAUCUCGCUGAGACCCAUUAGCCCUCACAGAACCUUUGCGACCAUGCUAAACACAGCAUACUCAGGGGUGCUUCGUCUUAUUUAUUUAUUUUUUAAUUUAAAGUAUAACUUACAUACAGAAAAGUUGAACUUGCAGAUGAAAAAGUGCGUAACAAAUUACCACAAAGCUAACUAACUGGCACGUUCAAACCAUCACCCACAUCAAGACAUGGGAUAUUAUUAGCAAGAAAUACUUAGUUUGAUAUUUGACAGCCAGUGGAAAAUCCACCCUCAGUAUAAUAAAGAGUUUGUGAAAAUCA